GACACCGUGAGAUUAGCUGGUCAAAGCACCUGUCUUGUAAACAGGAGAUCCUGGGUUCGAAUCCCAGCGGUGCCU
Molecule: non-coding RNA, 75 nt
Organism: Onychostoma macrolepis
Lineage: Eukaryota; Metazoa; Chordata; Actinopteri; Cypriniformes; Cyprinidae
Source: the annotation of a RefSeq genome assembly